Molecule: non-coding RNA, 790 nt
Organism: Chiloscyllium plagiosum (whitespotted bambooshark)
Lineage: Eukaryota; Metazoa; Chordata; Chondrichthyes; Orectolobiformes; Hemiscylliidae
Source: RefSeq, a predicted model, not a curated record
CGGUGUAGUUCAUGAUGAGCCACAGCAUUGGAAUGCCUCUCUGUGAUUCAUCUUCGGAGGUGGGAUUGCUCUGACUGUUUGCAGUCAAAGCGUUAUUUGCAUUAAUAUUUCUCGCACACACGAACUCCGAUAGAUCUGAGAUUAUACCAAUGAUCAUCGCACACGUCCAGGCAGUGAUGAUCAGAAACCAAUGUCCUUCCACUCCCUCCUCCGCCAGAACAAAUAGACACGGGGUCAGCCACUCUGUCCUGUCUGGUGAGUCACUUUAAGCCGGGCUUUGCACAGGUCCUCUGGGGCAUGGAUGGGAAAGAGACAGGCAGCAAGGUGGCCACUAGUGCUGUGCCCCCGGACAGCGAUCAAAGCUACAGCCUGAGCAGUUACCUGACAGUACUGGCCACUGACUGGAAGAAAGGCUCAAGAUAUUCCUGCAGUGUGGGGCACGGUUCACUGAACUCCCCUCUCCUCAACACCAUCAGCUCCAGGGACUGUUAGCUCUAAGGUGUACAAUGACCCAAAUCAGUCACUAUGCACGAUGUGGCGUUUUGUUGUUUUAGUUUUGCAAUGUAAUUUCUACAACAAUGUCAUUAUUUUGUGAAUAUUGAAGGGUAUCAGGAGUGGGUGAAAUGAUUAUUCCAUUUGGUGAGUGGAGAUUACCUGCUCCAAUUGUCGCCAGCAUUUUGUGUGCAAACUCUCGUUCUGGGUAGAAUGGGGAGUGAUCUCCACUUUUAGUCAAUGACCAUGCUGUAUUUGUGAAUUUUGGAAACACAGCUAUGAAUAAAUAUGAAAUGGU